UAAGGAAUGUUGGUCAAUGGACGCAAGUCUGAACCAGCCAUGCCGCGUGAAGGAUGAAGGUCCUCUGGAUUGUAAACUUCUUUUAUCUGGGACGAAAACGGGAUUUUUAUCUCAAUUGACGGUACCAGAGGAAUAAGCACCGGCUAACUCCGUGCCAGCAGCCGCGGUAAUACGGAGGGUGCGAGCGUUAUCCGGAUUUACUGGGUUUAAAGGGUGCGUAGGUGGGCUUAUAAGUCAGUGGUGAAAUCUCCGAGCUUAACUUGGAAACUGCCGUUGAUACUAUAGGUCUUGAAUUAUCUGGAGGUAAGCGGAAUAUGUCAUGUAGCGGUGAAAUGCUUAGAUAUGACAUAGAACACCAAUUGCGAAGGCAGCUUACUACAUAUAAAUUGACGCUGAGGCACGAAAGCGUGGGGAUCAAACA
RNAcentral lists this ribosomal RNA (421 nucleotides) under uncultured bacterium. RNAcentral describes it as "bacterial SSU rRNA". It matches the Rfam family "Bacterial small subunit ribosomal RNA", at positions 355 to 774 of the family's 1533-position model. The record is from RNAcentral.